UUUGUCUUUCUCUUUCUGAUUGACUUAAUAUGAGAGUCUCUAGUUCCAUCCAUGUUGCUGCAGAUGGCAUUAUUUGUUUCUUUUUGAUGGCUGAGUAGUACUCCGUUGUGUAUAUACACACACCACAUCUUCUUAAUCCAAUCAUCUGUUGAUGGACAUUUAGGUGGUUUCCAGGUCUUGGCAACUGUAAACAGUGCUGCAAUGAACAUGCAUGUGCAUGUGUCUUUUUCAAGGAAAGUUGUCUGGAUAUAUGCCCAAGAGGGGGACUGCUGGGUCAUAGGUCAGUUCUACGUAUAGUUUUCUAAGGUACCUCCAUAUUGUUUUCCAUAGUGGUUGUACCAAUUUACAUUCCCACCAACAGUGUAGGAGGGUUCCCUUUUCUCCACACCCUCUCUAGCAUUUGUUAUUUGUGGACUUAUUAGUGAUGGCCAUUCUGACUGGUGUGAGGUGGUACCUCAUAGCAGUUUUGAUUUGCAUUUCUCUAAUAAUCAGUGAUGUUACGCAUUUUUUCAUAUGCUUGUUGACUACGCUUUUUUUUUUGUUUUUUGUUUGUUUGUUUGUUUGUUUUUGUCUUUUUGCCUUUUCUAGGGCUGCUCCCCCAACACAUGGAAGUUCACAGGCUAGGGGUCUAAUUGGAGCUGUAGCUGCGGACCUACACCAGAGCCACAGCAACACGGGAUCCGAGCCGCAUCUGUGACCUACACCACAGCUCACAGCAGUGCCGGAUCCUUAACCCAUUGAGCAAGGCCAGGGAUUGAACCCGCAACCUCAUGGUUCCUAGUCGGAUUUGAGCCACGACAGGAACUCCCAAGUUUGUUUUUUUUUUUUAAUUAGAACUUUCACACAAACAAAAAGAUAUUCAUCCUUUUAUCUACUGACAAGUGUAUUAAUAUGUCUUCAAAAUCUGUGGAGGCUUAACAGUAAGAAAAAUCUAAACAAGGCUAAUUCUGAUCUAAAUGCUGUUAAAAAAAAUCCUUUUUUUUUUUUUUUUUUUUUUUCUUUUUAGGGCUGCUCUUGCAGCAUAUGGACAUUCCCAGGCUAGGGGUUGAAUCAGAGCUGCAGCUACCAGCCACAGCCACAGCCACAGCCACAGCAACUCAGGAUCCGAGAUGUACACCAGAGUUCAGAGCAAUGCCAGAUCCCCAACCCACUGAGCAAGGCCAGAGAUGGAAGCCAAGUCCUCUGGGAUACUAGUUGGGUUCGUUACCACUGAGCCAUGAUGGGAGCUCCCCC
RNAcentral lists this long non-coding RNA (1233 nucleotides) under Sus scrofa (pig). Its description in RNAcentral is "lncRNA (ENSSSCG00050053222.1)". Lineage: Eukaryota; Metazoa; Chordata; Mammalia; Artiodactyla; Suidae. The record is from RNAcentral.